This 38-nucleotide ribosomal RNA is filed under the name Codonopsis pilosula. RNAcentral describes it as "partial 26S ribosomal RNA". The record is from RNAcentral. RNAcentral also lists the same sequence under 4 other names. Lineage: Eukaryota; Viridiplantae; Streptophyta; Magnoliopsida; Asterales; Campanulaceae.
GCGACCCCAUGUCAGGCGGGACUACCCGCUGAGUUUAA